Molecule: unclassified non-coding RNA, 305 nt
Filed under: Hevea brasiliensis (rubber tree)
Lineage: Eukaryota; Viridiplantae; Streptophyta; Magnoliopsida; Malpighiales; Euphorbiaceae
Source: RNAcentral
GGGACAUGCGCCAGGAUAAAGGAGGAAACUUCAUGACAGAUAUAAACCGAGCAAGAUUAUGCACUUCACGUUUAGAGUACUUUUCAUGGAUGAGACCAGACAAGUAAAAUAACUUAGCUCCAUCAUAUAUCUCAGUCCAAAAUCUAUGCUUUAACCGUUGCUUCGUCUUUCUAAGCUUCUUAACAUCCUUGAACUGGUCGAGAUGUGUAAGAACACCCAUAACUUUAGGAAAUCCAUGAUUUUGCAGUAUAUUAAGGAAUUCAAAGGUCUCCAUUUCAAAGCCAUAGCUACCGUCAAUGAGAAGC